AACGCUGGCGGCAGGCCUAACACAUGCAAGUCGAACGGUAACAGGAAACAGCUUGCUGUUUCGCUGACGAGUGGCGGACGGGUGAGUAAUGUCUGGGAAACUGCCUGAUGGAGGGGGAUAACUACUGGAAACGGUAGCUAAUACCGCAUAACGUCGCAAGACCAAAGAGGGGGACCUUCGGGCCUCUUGCCAUCGGAUGUGCCCAGAUGGGAUUAGCUAGUAGGUGGGGUAAAGGCUCACCUAGGCGACGAUCCCUAGCUGGUCUGAGAGGAUGACCAGCCACACUGGAACUGAGACACGGUCCAGACUCCUACGGGAGGCAGCAGUGGGGAAUAUUGCACAAUGGGCGCAAGCCUGAUGCAGCCAUGCCGCGUGUAUGAAGAAGGCCUUCGGGUUGUAAAGUACUUUCAGCGGGGAGGAAGGGAGUAAAGUUAAUACCUUUGCUCAUUGACGUUACCCGCAGAAGAAGCACCGGCUAACUCCGUGCCAGCAGCCGCGGUAAUACGGAGGGUGCAAGCGUUAAUCGGAAUUACUGGGCGUAAAGCGCACGCAGGCGGUUUGUUAAGUCAGAUGUGAAAUCCCCGGGCUCAACCUGGGAACUGCAUCUGAUACUGGCAAGCUUGAGUCUCGUAGAGGGGGGUAGAAUUCCAGGUGUAGCGGUGAAAUGCGUAGAGAUCUGGAGGAAUACCGGUGGCGAAGGCGGCCCCCUGGACGAAGACUGACGCUCAGGUGCGAAAGCGUGGGGAGCAAACAGGAUCAGAUACCCUGGUAGUCCACGCCGUAAACGAUGUCGACUUGGAGGUUGUGCCCUUGAGGCGUGGCUUCCGGAGCUAACGCGUUAAGUCGACCGCCUGGGGAGUACGGCCGCAAGGUUAAAACUCAAAUGAAUUGACGGGGGCCCGCACAAGCGGUGGAGCAUGUGGUUUAAUUCGAUGCAACGCGAAGAACCUUACCUGGUCUUGACAUCCACGGAAGUUUUCAGAGAUGAGAAUGUGCCUUCGGGAACCGUGAGACAGGUGCUGCAUGGCUGUCGUCAGCUCGUGUUGUGAAAUGUUGGGUUAAGUCCCGCAACGAGCGCAACCCUUAUCCUUUGUUGCCAGCGGUCCGGCCGGGAACUCAAAGGAGACUGCCAGUGAUAAACUGGAGGAAGGUGGGGAUGACGUCAAGUCAUCAUGGCCCUUACGACCAGGGCUACACACGUGCUACAAUGGCGCAUACAAAGAGAAGCGACCUCGCGAGAGCAAGCGGACCUCAUAAAGUGCGUCGUAGUCCGGAUUGGAGUCUGCAACUCGACUCCAUGAAGUCGGAAUCGCUAGUAAUCGUGGAUCAGAAUGCCACGGUGAAUACGUUCCCGGGCCUUGUACACACCGCCCGUCACACCAUGGGAGUGGGUUGCAAAAGAAGUAGGUAGCUUAACCUUCGGGAGGGCGCUUACCACUUUGUGAUUCAUGACUGGGGUGAA
This 1462-nucleotide ribosomal RNA is filed under the name uncultured organism. Its description in RNAcentral is "SSU rRNA". It matches the Rfam family "Bacterial small subunit ribosomal RNA". The record is from RNAcentral.